Long non-coding RNA from Parus major (Great Tit), 1327 nucleotides. RefSeq lists it as uncharacterized. The transcript has 3 exons. The record is from RefSeq and is a predicted model, not a curated record. Lineage: Eukaryota; Metazoa; Chordata; Aves; Passeriformes; Paridae.
UCAGGUGGUUUUAUGGGGGACAGAAAGGGUAAGAUGUCAUACAAGGGAGAGAAAGGAGUUAGCUAGUCCUGCAAAAGGAGAAGAAGGAAAGAAAGAGCCAAUGCUGCAUGGAGCUGCCCAUGGCAAGGUUACAAAGAAAAGUUGCAGGAUGAAGCAGCCACACCAAUUUUCUGGAGUGUCCAUGAUCAGAACGGAUGAAAUCAGGAUGAGACUUUGCGGUGAGGAGAGGAUGUUCCUGAGAUGAUGGUCCUAGUGUUGGUCUUCAUCUUACUGUCUGCCAUGAAUGCAGGAGUCUGUACCAUGAUUUGGGAAGAUAUUCAGAGCAAUGGCUGGAGGCUGUGACAGCUGCAGUCCUUUCUAUGGAGCAUGCUGUGGUGGUUAUGGAACAUGCAGCUGGCAGAGGCUUGUGGGGUGAGAUGCACAAUAUGAAUAACCUGUUUACUAUGUGGCACAUGUGAUGAAAGGCUGAGUGGACGUGACUCCUGCACUGCAAAGGCUCAAGCCCUUUUCUGUGUGUGUGCCACUAGAGCAUGCCAAUGUUUCCUUGGACAGGUAUACCUGUGCAGGUUUUAUUGCUACAGACACAAAUAGCUUUUGUGAGUACCUAAGGAUGCUGAAAGCAGGCAAGAGACACAGUGCCUGUGUGAAACUAAUUCACUCUGGCCUGCGAAAGCAUAAGGAGAAAUCUAAACAGUCCUUGGAGAAGGACAACAACCUUUUGCAGGCAUUGUUUAGGAUCCUUGUUUUUUACUUGCAAGAAACAGUCAAGGGGUGGUGUUCCACUUAACCAAUGAUGAUGUGUAAGUUUAAUGACCGAUGAGUUUUACCUCUUGGACCUUGUCAGACCUGUCUAUGAGAGAUGAUUGAGAAUAAUAAACUUGCUCUCUUGGACAACCCAGCAAGAGAGUCAGUGUUGUACUUUCUGCUGUUCCUAAUAUAGUGCGACAAGUACCCAGUUUCCUGUCUCAUGUUUUUUCAGCUAUAGCCACAAAAAAUGAGAUUUAGCUGGUCAUUCCCUGCAUUUUUGACACUGAUCAGACAUAACUUUCAAAAGUUAUUGUUUAACGAAGAAAUAAAAAUACACAUUAAACAGAAUGGAGCACCUUCCCUCACCCAGUUGGUAAUAAAUCAGUGUACACUCCAGAUAACAUUGCUGACUGACACAGUAUUUGACAUCUCAGACCACUGUUUUUGCCAGAAUAAUUGUCACAUUUUAUUCUUGCCAUGUGCAGUACAAUGCCAGUAUGACUCAUUGCAGUUUUUCUUUGAACAUUUUUGAACAGUGUUUAGAAAGUAUCAGAUGGCCAUAUUUUCCCCAGAAGUGAUA